Molecule: long non-coding RNA, 512 nt
Organism: Heterocephalus glaber (naked mole-rat)
Lineage: Eukaryota; Metazoa; Chordata; Mammalia; Rodentia; Bathyergidae
Source: Ensembl
CUGUAAGAUAAACACGCAUUGUUUUAAGCCACUAAACUGUGCUAACUCGUUACUGUAGCUGUAGGAAACUAACACAAGAGCUUUUCCUUUUAGCUCACACUGCUCUUUCCUCUCACAUCCAGCACUGAUUUGGGCAUGGAUAUUUUCCUUGCUCAUCUCUCCAUUAGACUUGCAGCUCCUUGGAGACAGUUUCUCUCUCCUUUACACUAGUUAAUCCAAUACCCAGCAUUGCUUAGCAUCUCGUCAACACCCAUUCAUCCAUUUUUUUAAAGUAUGAAUGAAAGAUAGACAAAGGUGUUGCUUCCCCCUCUUACAGGGGAAGAAGGGCAGCUACCAUCAUACCAACCAACACAAGCGGCACGUGGAAACUAACAGAUUUCAAAGAAUCAGUUUCUAACCAGAAGGAAGUCUAUGGGAAUAUGCUGAACUGUGAAGUUUUCAAAAUAUCUUGUCUAGAUAUUUCUUUGUGGAUAUCGGAAAUAAUAGAUUCAUCGACAGAAGAUUGCAAUAAG